Molecule: transfer RNA, 91 nt
Filed under: Gammaproteobacteria bacterium
Lineage: Bacteria; Pseudomonadati; Pseudomonadota; Gammaproteobacteria
Description: tRNA-Ser
Rfam family: tRNA
About the family: Transfer RNA (tRNA) molecules are approximately 80 nucleotides in length. Their secondary structure includes four short double-helical elements and three loops (D, anti-codon, and T loops). Further hydrogen bonds mediate the characteristic L-shaped molecular structure. tRNAs have two regions of fundamental functional importance: the anti-codon, which is responsible for specific mRNA codon recognition, and the 3' end, to which the tRNAs corresponding amino acid is attached (by aminoacyl-tRNA synthetases). tRNAs cope with the degeneracy of the genetic code in two manners: having more than one tRNA (with a specific anti-codon) for a particular amino acid; and 'wobble' base-pairing, i.e. permitting non-standard base-pairing at the 3rd anti-codon position.
Source: RNAcentral
GGAGAGGUGUCCGAGUGGUUGAAGGAGCACGCCUGGAAAGCGUGUGUACGUUAAUAGCGUACCGAGGGUUCGAAUCCCUCCCUCUCCGCCA